GGACUACUGGGGUAUCUAAUCCUGUUUGAUCCCCACGCCUUCGUGCCUGAGCGUCAGUUAUGGCCUAGUAAGCUGCCUGCGCAAUCGGAGUUCCUCGUGAUAUCUAUGCAUUUCACCGCUACACCACAAAUUCCGCCUACUUCAUCCACACUCAAGAAAACCAGUAUCGAUGGCACUUUUACAGUUGAGCUGCAAAAUUUCACCGCCGACUUAAUCUUCCGCCUGCGCACCCUUUAAACCCAAUAAAUCCGGAUAACGCUUGGAUCCUCCGUAUUACCGCGGCUGCUGGCACU
Molecule: unclassified non-coding RNA, 293 nt
Filed under: uncultured fungus
Lineage: Eukaryota; Fungi
Description: sequence contains ITS1
Source: RNAcentral